This 525-nucleotide ribosomal RNA is filed under the name Triticum aestivum (bread wheat). Its description in RNAcentral is "partial small subunit ribosomal RNA". The record is from RNAcentral. Lineage: Eukaryota; Viridiplantae; Streptophyta; Magnoliopsida; Poales; Poaceae.
AUGGAAGGAACAAGAGGUGGAAGUGAGCUCCCUGCAUACGAACAAUCAAGAGUUAGGCUCGUAGCAGACAUGAAUUGUACAGCCAUGCACGUGACUGCAUAUCAAUUGAUGAGAAAACAACCUGAAGAAGCAGCUGAACCGCCAACAACACUUGCAAUGGAAAUUCAAUUUUGUCGACAAGAUGAACAUGUUUCUACUCUACUAGAGCUCACGGAACAAAUGCAACGAAAAAUUGGAGAGAUGCAUCAAGUUCUCUUUUCUCAAGGAAUCAGAAAUGUCGAAAUACCAGUGCAACCCCCAUUAUCAUGCAAACAGUAUCAAAUUCAUGAAUACAUUCCUGACCUCGCACAUCAAAUCACCGGUCUGAUCUUGUUGUCCAACGACCGAGAGUUCCGAGACGAAUGCGUGGCACUCCUCAGGAAACAUAGGGACAUAUGGCAGAAAGUAGGAAGUCCACAAGUUGAUCUAAGAUGUUCCAGUGAUCGCUUUUGUUCAUUACAUAUGGAAGUUGAUGUCGGCUUGUGA